Molecule: long non-coding RNA, 454 nt
Organism: Lolium rigidum
Lineage: Eukaryota; Viridiplantae; Streptophyta; Magnoliopsida; Poales; Poaceae
Exons: 3
Source: RefSeq, a predicted model, not a curated record
GAGUAGAUGUUACAGACAGGAAGAGGGCUACACCUAGAUUACAAGACUAGGCCUUUACGACUACAUGGAAGGCCUCUUGAAAAGACCACACCCUUUGAUCACAUGCUUGUUUGGAAGGCAUGAGGUAACUGGAAUGCCAAUAGUCUAGGGAGCUGAUACAUGAAGAAGUGGGAGCGAAGAUCCUUGAACCUUGAUGCUGUAAUCCUAGCGGUUUCAGAGAUGAAUGUCGAUCCUGGUGAGGGAGGUCUGAGCAAAGAACUGCAUGGACCUUGAGGAUGUCGAUUCGGGAAGACCCCUACAUGGAGACCGUGGAGUAGACAACUACUCUAGGCGUGGUUACCCAGCAAUGCAUUGUUGGGCCUCGAAAACAUGUUGUUUAGGGUGUGUUUGGUUUGAUAAGUGGGAUGUAAUGUCAUUUUCCAUUCCACAAGUGUCGUGAUCCGCAGGUGGAGAA